This 468-nucleotide ribosomal RNA is filed under the name uncultured bacterium. Its description in RNAcentral is "partial 16S ribosomal RNA". It matches the Rfam family "Bacterial small subunit ribosomal RNA", at positions 28 to 507 of the family's 1533-position model. The record is from RNAcentral.
GACGAACGCUGGCGGCGUGCUUAACACAUGCAAGUCGAACGGAAAGGCCCUGCUUUUGUGGGGUGCUCGAGUGGCGAACGGGUGAGUAACACGUGAGUAACCUGCCCUUGACUUUGGGAUAACUUCAGGAAACUGGGGCUAAUACCGGAUAGGAGCUCCUGCUGCAUGGUGGGGGUUGGAAAGUUUCGGCGGUUGGGGAUGGACUCGCGGCUUAUCAGCUUGUUGGUGGGGUAGUGGCUUACCAAGGCUUUGACGGGUAGCCGGCCUGAGAGGGUGACCGGCCACAUUGGGAAUGAGAUACGGCCCAGACUCCUACGGGAGGCAGAAGUGGGGAAUAUUGCACAAUGGGCGGAAGCCUGAUGCAGCAACGCCGCGUGCGGGAUGACGGCCUUCGGGUUGUAAACCGCUUUCGCCUGUGACGAAGCGUGAGUGACGGUAAUGGGUAAAGAAGCACCGGCUAACUACGUG